Molecule: ribosomal RNA, 460 nt
Filed under: uncultured bacterium
Lineage: Bacteria
Description: partial 16S ribosomal RNA
Rfam family: Bacterial small subunit ribosomal RNA
Source: RNAcentral
CCUACGGGUGGCUGCAGUGAGGAAUAUUGGUCAAUGGACGAGAGUCUGAACCAGCCAAGUCGCGUGAAGGAUGACUGCCCUAUGGGUUGUAAACUUCUUUUAUAGGGGAAUAAAACGAGGCACGUGUGCCUUUUUGCAUGUACUUUAUGAAUAAGGAUCGGCUAACUCCGUGCCAGCCGCCGCGGUAAUACGGAGGAUCCGAGCGUUAUCCGGAUUUAUUGGGUUUAAAGGGAGCGGAGAUGGGUUGUUAAGUCAGUUGUGAAAGUUUGCGGCUCAACCGUAAAAUUGCAAUUGAUACUGGCAGGCUUGAGUGCAGUUGAGGUAGGCGGAAUUCGUGGUGUAGCGGUGAAAUGCUUAGAUAUCACGAAGAACCCCGAUUGCGAAGGCAGCUUACUAAACUAUGACUGACAUUGAUGCUCGAAAGUGUGGGGAUCAAACAGGAUUAGAUACCCGAGUAGUC